AGGGGCUGGCUCCGAAGACGGAAGAGAACACUGGCCGGGAGAAGGGAGACGUGGACAAAAGGCGGGACUGGGGAGGGGCCUUUUGCUUGGGCCCUCCUCCGACCCGUGAACUUGCGACCCGGAGACUACCGGUCCCAGCGUGCACUGCUUCCUGCCCCGCGGUCCCUCGGUACGAGUCCGCCGGGCGAAAUUUCCACGCUGGGUGGGCGCGCUGCACCGUGGGACGUGUAGUCCUCCGAGGGUCACGGGAUUGGGGGAUCCAGCUGUCCCCGGCUCUCUGCGCCCAGCCCUUCCUCCAUGGGUCAGCUGUUUAUCCCUCCUGCCGCGAAUGACGUUUCCCUGAAGGCAGGCAGGAUGAAGCGGACACGUCCCCGGGUCGGAUCCGUACGCCUUAGGGAAUAGUGUUGGAGUAAUCCUCUGCCCUCAGGGAGAUUACAAAGCAACUGCAAAAAUGAAUGGAGCCUUUGUCGGCAGUGCGCUGAGAGUUUUACUUGCAUUCUCUCGUGUAGGUUGGUACACUCAGAUUUGUUGAAAAUAAAACAGCUCUGUAGAAAGCUUGAAAUGGCUUUUCUCGCUUGGAAGUGGAGUGCAGCGAUGAGUCUGGCGACCUGCAGGCGGAGCAGAGUUCUUCCUCCUCUCACUCCCCACAUUUAAAUGAAGACUCUGAAUCCACUUUCUUAGAUGAGUUACAUAAGCUGCACCUUGUUUUAGAGUUUCUUGCUGGGGAUGUUGGCAUUCACCUUCUCUACGUAUUCACAGUGUGGACGUCAUCGCCAGGUACAGUCAGUCGCAUUUAUCAAUGAUGGUCUAAGCCACCGUACCCAGGAUUUAGUCUUAGCUCAUGUGGUCAUAAACAUAAUUUUUAAUGACUGUUCUAUCAGUCCAGGUUCUUGGCUGCAAAUAACACUCUAAUUAAAAUUUUUAAUUAAUGUAAAUAUGUUAAAAUCUCAGAGGGCCCAAGAACCAGGCUUGAGGAAUAUACAUCCCAAAUGUUAGCACCAGGAUGCUUCAGGAAUUUAACUGCACCUUGACCUUGGAGUUGGGACACUUGCUGCUAGACCCUCUGUCACUGUCACUCUGAGAGCCGGAUGUCUCUAUGUCACGAUCCACCACCCUCAGCAGAAUAGAUUUUUCAUAAUUAUUGCCUUCUUACCUUUCUAUUGAAUCAAAAUUUGAAAAGAGUGAGUCUGAGUGGUGGAGCAUACCUCACAUCCCCAUACCCUAGCUGGAAGAGAAAGUAGAAGAAUAAAUUGGUGAUUCUAAUUUAGAAACAGAAAUUUUGCACACAUACGAAGGCCGUUUAUAACCUGUUAAGCAGAGAAAAAGUACAACGAAGUCCAAAACAAUUCUGUCAUGCUUUAUUAUAUAAAUGUUCCAUAAUAAAUUUAAUUCCCUAUCGUUGAAAACUUCGGCCAUUUAAGAAGAUAUUUUUUUAGUCAUGUUUAUUGAGGUAUAAUUUACACAUGACUAAAAUCCACCCUUUUCAGUUUACAGUUAUAUGAGUAUUAACAAAUGCAUUUAGUCACAGAGCAACCACCAUAAUUCAGGAUAUAAAUUUAGGAGGUGAACCAAAUUCCCUUACAUGCCACUUCACAGUCAAUCCCUCCCCGUCCCCCCAACUGCAGGCAACCAGUGAUCUUUUUUUUUUUUUUAAUGGCAAUAUUAGUUCACGCUAUCCAGUAAGUUUGCGGUGUACAAUUCAACAGUAAGGCAUAUAUAUUGCACUGUGUGUUCACCACCCGUAGUUAGAUUUCUUUCUGUCAACACAUAUUUGCCCCUUUUUAUCCCAUCUAUCUCCCCCGUCCCCCAAAUGAUCUAUUUUUAUCCCUUAGUUUUUCUUUUCCCAGCAUGUCAUGUAAAAGGAAGCAUAUAGUAUGUAUCCUCUAUUUGAGUAUGGCUUUUUUUACUCCGCCUAAUUAUUUUGAGACUCAUCCACAUUACUGCAUAUGUCAGUAGAACAUUCCUUUUUAUUGUCGAAUAGUAGGUUAUAUGGAUAUACCAGUUUAUCCAUUCACCAGCUGAAAGACAUAUGGGUUCUUUUCUAGUUUUUGACAGUUAUUAAUACAGCAACUGUAGACAUUGGCAUACAGGUUUAGUUGACUCCUCUCAAGAACCCCAUCAGUCCCAUCCAAGCCACAACAAAUAAACAUAUAAUCAAAGAAAAAACUAUGUAGAAGUAGUUUCAAAUCAACCCACUCACCUCCAAUUCCAACCUGAUUUUUGGCCCUAAAUAGAAGUUCUGGAGGAGCCUCUUGGGGAAUGAUUCUUACGUUUUGGAAAUUCUGUAUGAAAGGAGGAGAGGAAGUGAGGUUCGUGGCACACCAAGUGUCCUGUCACUGCCGAACUUGAUUUCUCCAGUGUUUCUUACUCUCUCCUCUGAAGCUGUUGGUGUAGGUGAGUGAAAGCUAAGAUGACAGACAAGGCUUAUGCAAGGCAAGGAAGCAAAUAUCCCUUCUGGGCUCUUCCUGGCCACAUUGACCCUACAAUUUUGAGUUUCCUGAUGCAGGGAUCAUGUCCACUGCGUUCACCUCUGCUUCGCCAGCACCUACGAGAGUGCCUGCAUAUAACAGAUACCCAAUUAUUAUUUUUUGGAUUAAUGAGUUCAUGGAUGAAUGAACUACUGUCAACAUUGGUGAGGAAAUAUGUGUUUAUUUAUAAUUAUAUCAAAGAAUGAGUGUUUCACUCAGUGUUACUCAUCGAAAAUCAAUUUGAACAGUAAUUCAAUUACGUCAAGAGUAAUUGCCCAUUGCUCUAUUAUGGACAUAGUCCAAUUCCUAGAGAAAUAAGCAUAUGCAUUUUCAAAGCAUAAUUACAUCUGACGUUAAGUGACUUCCCUGUGGGUUCCUUCCCAAUGACAGAAAAUUAAAAGUUCCAUAAUACAGUAACAGUGACUCACCUUUUCAUCUCCGAGGGUUGUUCCUUCCAGCUCAAGUCUGUCGUUUGCUUAAGAGAUGAAACCAGCCCCAUUACAAAUAAAGAUGACAUUUGGA
Pteropus alecto (black flying fox) is the source of this 2990-nucleotide long non-coding RNA. RefSeq lists it as uncharacterized. The transcript is spliced from 2 exons. NCBI's taxonomy places the organism in Eukaryota, Metazoa, Chordata, Mammalia, Chiroptera, Pteropodidae. The record is from RefSeq and is a predicted model, not a curated record.